UUGGAGGGCAAGUCUGGUGCCAGCAGCCGCGGUAAUUCCAGCUCCAAUAGCGUAUAUUAAAGUUGUUGCAGUUAAAAAGCUCGUAGUUGAAUUUCGGGGUCAGUAGGUUGGUCAUGCCACUGGUAUGUACUGGUCUCACUGAUUCCUCCUUCCUGAUGAACUGUAAUGCCAUUAAUUUGGUGUUGCAGGGAAUCUGGACUGUUACUUUGAAAAAAUUAGAGUGUUUAAAGCAGGCUUUAGCUUGAAUACAUUAGCAUGGAAUAAUGAAAUAGGACGUUUGAUCCUAUUUUGUUGGUUUCUAGGAUUGACGUAAUGAUUAAUAGGGAUAGUUGGGGGCAUUAGUAUUCAAUUGUCAGAGGUGAAAUUCUUGGAUUUAUUGAAGACUAACUACUGCGAAAGCAUUUGCCAAGGAUGUUUUCAUUAAUCAAGAACGAAAGUUAGGGGAUCGAAGACGAUCAGAUACCGUCGUAGUCUUAACCAUAAACUAUGCCGACUAGGGAUCGGAUGAUGUUAAUUUUUUAAUGACUCGUUCGGCGCCUUACGGGAAAC
Molecule: ribosomal RNA, 549 nt
Filed under: uncultured Rhizophagus
Lineage: Eukaryota; Fungi; Glomeromycota; Glomeromycetes; Glomerales; Glomeraceae
Description: SSU rRNA
Rfam family: Eukaryotic small subunit ribosomal RNA
Source: RNAcentral